AACGAACGCUGGCGGCAUGCCUAACACAUGCAAGUCGAACGAGACCUUCGGGUCUAGUGGCGCACGGGUGCGUAACGCGUGGGAACCUGCCCUUAGGUUCGGAAUAACUCCCCGAAAGGGGUGCUAAUACCGGAUAAUGUCUUCGGACCAAAGAUUUAUCGCCUUUGGAUGGGCCCGCGUUGGAUUAGCUAGUUGGUAGGGUAAAAGCCUACCAAGGCGACGAUCCAUAGCUGGUCUGAGAGGAUGAUCAGCCCCCCUGGGACUGAGACACGGCCCAGACUCCUACGGGAGGCAGCAGUGGGGAAUAUUGGACACUGGGCGAAAGCCUGAUCCAGCAAGGCCGCGUGAGUGAUGAAGGCCUUAGGGUUGUAAAGCUCUUUUACCCGGGAUGAUAAUGACAGUACCGGGAGAAUAAGCUCCGGCUAACUCCGUG
This 433-nucleotide ribosomal RNA is filed under the name uncultured bacterium. Its description in RNAcentral is "partial 16S ribosomal RNA". It matches the Rfam family "Bacterial small subunit ribosomal RNA", at positions 29 to 507 of the family's 1533-position model. The record is from RNAcentral.